GGCUGUGUGGUCUAGUGGUAUGAUUCUCGCUUCCGGGUGCGAGAGGUUUCGAGAUCGAUUUUCGACUCAGCCC
Molecule: non-coding RNA, 73 nt
Organism: Perkinsus olseni
Lineage: Eukaryota; Perkinsozoa; Perkinsida; Perkinsidae
Source: the annotation of a GenBank genome assembly